UACGAAGGGGGCUAGCGUUGCUCGGAAUUACUGGGCGUAAAGGGCGCGUAGGCGGAUAUCUAAGUUGGGGGUGAAAUCCCGGGGCUCAACCUCGGAAUUGCCUUCAAAACUGGAUAUCUUGAGUUCGGGAGAGGUGAGUGGAACUCCGAGUGUAGAGGUGAAAUUCGUAGAUAUUCGGAAGAACACCAGUGGCGAAGGCGACUCACUGGCCCGAUACUGACGCUGAGGCGCGAAAGCUAGGGUAGCAAACGGG
This 253-nucleotide ribosomal RNA is filed under the name uncultured bacterium. RNAcentral describes it as "partial 16S ribosomal RNA". It matches the Rfam family "Bacterial small subunit ribosomal RNA", at positions 524 to 776 of the family's 1533-position model. The record is from RNAcentral.